This 253-nucleotide ribosomal RNA is filed under the name uncultured bacterium. RNAcentral's name for it is "partial 16S ribosomal RNA". It matches the Rfam family "Bacterial small subunit ribosomal RNA", at positions 524 to 776 of the family's 1533-position model. The record is from RNAcentral.
UACGUAGUGUGCAAGCGUUGUCCGGAAUUAUUGGGCGUAAAGAGCUCGUAGGCGGUUUGUCGCGUCGAAUGUGAAAACCCGGGGCUCAACUCCGGGCCUGCAUUCGAUACGGGCAGACUAGAGUUCGGUAGGGGAGACUGGAAUUCCUGGUGUAGCGGUGAAAUGCGCAGAUAUCAGGAGGAACACCGGUGGCGAAGGCGGGUCUCUGGGCCGAUACUGACGCUGAGGAGCGAAAGCGUGGGGAGCGAACAGG